Molecule: non-coding RNA, 72 nt
Organism: Phrynosoma platyrhinos (Desert horned lizard)
Lineage: Eukaryota; Metazoa; Chordata; Lepidosauria; Squamata; Phrynosomatidae
Source: the annotation of a GenBank genome assembly
AGCAGUGUGGUAUGGUAGUUUAAGCAUUAGAUUAUGACUCUGGAGACCAGGGUUCAAUUCCCUGCUCAGCCA